RNAcentral lists this transfer RNA (72 nucleotides) under Mucor hiemalis. Its description in RNAcentral is "tRNA-Val". It matches the Rfam family "tRNA". Rfam says of the family: Transfer RNA (tRNA) molecules are approximately 80 nucleotides in length. Their secondary structure includes four short double-helical elements and three loops (D, anti-codon, and T loops). RNAcentral also lists the same sequence under 1 other name. The record is from RNAcentral. Lineage: Eukaryota; Fungi; Mucoromycota; Mucoromycetes; Mucorales; Mucoraceae.
AGGGGAUUAGCUCAGGGGUAGAGUGUUUAUCUUACACAUAAAAUGUCAGUAGUUCGAAUCUACUAUUCCCUA